This is a transfer RNA of 74 nucleotides. It matches the Rfam family "tRNA". Rfam says of the family: Transfer RNA (tRNA) molecules are approximately 80 nucleotides in length. The record is from Rfam.
GGGCCCAUAGCUCAGUUGGUUAGAGCAGUCGACUCAUAAUCGAUUGGUCGUAGGUUCAAGUCCUACUGGGCCCA